RNAcentral lists this long non-coding RNA (1012 nucleotides) under Homo sapiens (human). RNAcentral's name for it is "long intergenic non-protein coding RNA 1446". The record is from RNAcentral. Lineage: Eukaryota; Metazoa; Chordata; Mammalia; Primates; Hominidae.
GGAACCCGGCCGACAGAAGAUGGCGGAUGAGCAGCGUGCAGGGUUUUCUCCCUGUGGCUCACUCUCUCUUACUGUGCUGGGCGGUUGCUUCCUCUCCUGCUGCCCUUGGGAGUCAGACUCCAGGUUCUUCAGCCUGUGGCCCCUGGGGCUCUCGGGCCUUGGAGGACUGACUAGGAGCACACGGUGGGCCUCUCUGGUUUGGGGGCCUGGGACGUGGCGGAGCCCUGCAGCUUCUGUGCGGCCUGUUCUGGGCGUCGCGUUGAAACGCCAGCCAGUUCCCCAAUCCCCCUGGGAUUACAGGAGUGUUGAAGAAAUGUUGUGACACAUCAGAACACCGCGAAAUACAUGGACACUUUCAAAUCAUGGAAGACUCAAGAGUCCUUGUUUUUGCCCAGUAUUAUAAACUGAGUUACAUAAAGGCAGAGCAAAUGCUAAAGCAAACUGUCCAGAAGGAAGGACAGCAGUAAGUGGAGAGACGUUAUUGCAAACAAGCACCUGGCAACAGCUGUGUUAGUUGCCCACCAGGUAUUUUUGAAAAAAGUACUCUGUGAAAAACAGAAACUGCAAGCAAGACAGAUACCAGGAUUAGGGAUCACGGUGACUUCUACCAUCGCUGGAUACUCCCAAAAGGGUUCUCGAGACAGCAGCUGUGUCUGCCCUGCUUUGGCAUUCUUUCCCAGGCAUGGCGACCGUAAGUCAAAAUGUAAUCCUUAGCUGGUCAUACAAGCCCUGUCAUUACUCAUAUAUGCAGAUGAUAUUUUAAAUUCUUCCAGUUUUUUUUUAGGGAGGAGUAUUAAAACAUGAGUAAAAAUUAAUUUGUGGGCUCACUGACAAUGGGGUUUAAUUUGCAUUUUUAUCCUCAUUGAUUAGCACCAAGCCCAGAAGAACUUGUGUUCAUUAAGAACUUGUUGAUUGAGCAGCUAGAAAGGGGCUUGUCUUCCAUAAGGAGAUCUCUACUCUUGUGGGUUUUACUCUCUAGCAGAGGGACAUGAGCAACAGACAAUAAAAUAAA